RNAcentral lists this ribosomal RNA (253 nucleotides) under uncultured bacterium. RNAcentral describes it as "partial 16S ribosomal RNA". It matches the Rfam family "Bacterial small subunit ribosomal RNA", at positions 524 to 776 of the family's 1533-position model. The record is from RNAcentral.
UACAGAGGGUGCGAGCGUUGUCCGGAAUCACUGGGCGUAAAGGGCGCGUAGGCGGCUUUUCACGCGUGCGGUGAAAGCCCGGGGCUUAACUCCGGGUCUGCCGUGCGAACGGGGAGGCUUGAGUCUGGUAGAGGUCGAUGGAAUUCCGGGUGUAGCGGUGGAAUGCGUAGAGAUCCGGAAGAACACCGGUGGCGAAGGCGGUCGACUGGGCCAGAACUGACGCUGAGGCGCGACAGCGUGGGGAGCAAACAGG